AGGGGGACACGGGGAGGAUGGGGCUGGGGGAUGGUUUUGUGGGACUGGAGGGCAGGGGGAGCGGGGGCAGCUCAUGGGGACGGGGACAGGGACGGGGUCAGGGCCCCCCCGCCCACCCCCUGCCCUGCCCCCAGGGGAGAUCAAGAAGGGGAAGGUUUCGGGCUGCCACAGCUGGGUGCAGCUCUACCGCCUGGAGAAGCUGGGGCAGCUCAACUACCUGAGCUACAGCUACGACGGGCCCGUGAGUGCCCCCCCUGGACCCCCCCCCCCGCCCUUGCCCCCCCCCCCCCACCCCCGCCCCCGGGGCCCCAGGUCCCCACUCCUCUGCGCCCACCCCCGGUGACUGUCCCCAGAGACCCCACGAGCAUCCCUGGGGUGUCCUGCCCCGGUGUCCCCGUGCCUGUCCCUGCGCCCUGGGGCCAUGCCCGUGGCCCCUUUGUGUCCCCAUGCCCGUGAUCCCAAAAUGUCCCCAUGCCUGUGAUCUCAAUGUGUCCCCAUGCCCGCAAUGGGACAUUCCCUGGGGCCACAUCCCUGGUCCCAUGGUGUCCCCAUGCCCAUCCCUGCACCCUGGGGCCAUGCCCAUGUCCCCCCUGGUGUCCCAAUGUGUCCCCAUGCCCGUGGUCCCAUCAUGUCCCUGUGCCCACAGUGGGACAUUCCCUGGGGCCAUGCCCCUGGUCCCAGCGUGUCCCCAUGGUGUCCCCAUGGUGUCCCCAUGGUGUCCCCAUUCCCACAGUGGGACAUUCCCUGGGGCCAUACCCCUGGUCCCUGCGUGUCCCCAUGGUGUCCCCACGGUGUCCCCACGCUGUCCCCAUGCCCGCAGUGGGACACCUUCCCCGACAUCCUGGCCCUGCAGUACCUCUGGGACGGGCACCUGAAGAGCAUCGGCUCCACCUUCAUGGGCUCCAGCCCCGAGUUCGACCUGGCCCUGUACACCCUGUGCUACAAGGCCCGGCCCGACCAGGAGUGCCACGUGACGCUGGGGGGCAAAGCGGCCACCAUCCAGACCUACUCCUGGACCAGCUCCUCCUACGGGAACGGGCAGCGCUUCGUGGCCUCCUCCUACCCCGUCAGCCCCUGACCCCCCCCCCCNNNNNNNNNNNNNNNNNNNNNNNNNNNNNNNNNNNNNNNNNNNNNNNNNNNNNNNNNNNNNNNNNNNNNNNNNNNNNNNNNNNNNNNNNNNNNNNNNNNNGUGUCCUUAACGUGUCCCUGCCACCACACGCGUGUCCCUGCCGUGUCCCUGUCACCUCAUGCGUGUCCCUAACGUGUCCCGGUCACCACACGUGUGUGCCAGGAGCGUGCCCGUGUGGCUCCACGCGUGUCCCUCGCGUGUCCUCAUGGCCACACGUGUCCUUAGCGUGUCCAUGUGGCUGCACACACGUGUCCCUUGUGUGCCCGUGCAGCCGCACACGCGUCCCGUGUCCCUGCACACCCAUCCCUGGCCCACCCGCACCCCGGCACACGCGUGUCCCUUGGCACAUACGUGUCCCUGCCGCGUCCCCACCCACGUGCGUGUCCCACCCGCACCCUGGCGUGUCCCCAUCCCGUCCCCCCCCCCGCCCUGCCCGCCACCCCCCUGGGGCACCCCAGCGCGUCCCCAGCGCGUCCCCGUCGGGGCGCGGGGGCGCAGGGCAGGGCCGCCACGGCGAGCCCCAGCCUGCCCCGACGCGCCGGCGGGACGGGCAGCGCCGUUCCCAGGCCCAGCCCUGCGCCCCUGCCGGCCCCACGGGUGACGCCAGCCCCACGGGUGACACCGGCCCCACGGGUGACGCGGGCCCCACGGGGUGACGCCAGCCAGGAAGCGCAGCGAGGGCGCAGCGGGGCCGGAUGGGGCCGGGGGCCGCGCGGCGGGGACGCGCCCCGGGUGGUGCCAUGGCCCCGGGGCCGCGGCGCUGAGGGCGGGGGGCUGCCAUGGGCCCCCCCCGGCAGCAGGUGCUGGGCGCCACCCCCGCCGAGGUGAGGCGGCACGAGGGGGCCAAGCAGCACCUCAACAACCUGAUCCGCCUGGUGGGCACCGUGCCCGACCCCCGGCUGCGCGCCAGCCUCACCGCGUCCCUCAGCGUCGUGCAAGGUACGGGGCAUGGCACUGGGACCAGUACCGGGACUGGGAAUGGGGCUGGGACUGGGAAUGGGACUGGGAAUGGAGCUGGGAACCAGUGCCGGAACUGGGAACUGGUGCUGGAACUGGGAACUGGUACCGGGAUGGACUGGAGCUGGGAACUGGUGCCGGAGCUUGGAACUGGUGCUGGAACUGGGAACUGGUGCCAGAACUGGGAACCAGUACUGGAGCUGGGAACCGGUACCAGGAACUGGUACUGGAGCUGGGAAUUGGUACCGGAACUGGGAACCGGUACUGGGAAUUGGGCACUGGGAACUGGGAACCAGGCCCAGAGGCCGCGGUGGCGCCUGGAGGUUGGGGAGGGGGCGUACGGAUGGAUGGACAGAGGGGAGGACGGACGA
RNAcentral lists this long non-coding RNA (2457 nucleotides) under Anas platyrhynchos platyrhynchos (common mallard). RNAcentral describes it as "lncRNA (ENSAPLG00000023304.1)". The record is from RNAcentral. Lineage: Eukaryota; Metazoa; Chordata; Aves; Anseriformes; Anatidae.